Molecule: ribosomal RNA, 1659 nt
Filed under: Triticum aestivum (bread wheat)
Lineage: Eukaryota; Viridiplantae; Streptophyta; Magnoliopsida; Poales; Poaceae
Description: partial small subunit ribosomal RNA
Source: RNAcentral
AUGGUUCUGGUCGAGCGCACGCCGUGCGCGGGGGCAGCCCCCUUCAGUCCGCUCCAGAGAUCCACUCCUAGGGCUUCGCGGGAGGCGUCGCCGCCGUCCGACCCCAUCCUCCCCUACCUCAGGUCUAUCAAGAAGGCCAUUGAUGAGAUCAGGGCACACCCAGAAUGUUAUCAUACAGCACUUGAACAGCUCAAGAUUUAUGUGACAGAAUGCAUUGAUAAGUAUGGGGACGAUUAUCAGUACUCCACUGACCCCCGGCUCCUGAAGAUCUGGAUCCUCUAUGGGGAUGCAGUUUCUGAUUUUGACAAGGUGUAUACACAUUUGGAGGAGAAAAGAAUGUUCUUAGAGGAUGCACUGCUCUAUGAAUCAUAUGCACUGUUUCUGUGUGCUCAGGGGAGAGCGCUCGAGGCUGAUAAGGUCUAUGGGAUUGGUAUUUCCAGAAAAGCCGAGCCCCUUGAUCAUUUGAAGAAGAUGCAUAUCAACUUCUUAAAACAAUUGGAGAGUAUUGUAGAAGAAUCUGAUGAGGAUGCACAGCCCAAACCAUCUAAAAUACAAAAAAGGGAGUUUACUGUGGUUGAUCCAUGGUCAGAUUCUACCAUGAGCAAUUUGCUAACGAAAAUUAAUGGUGGCCUCAAGAAGUUAACAGGCUAUCAUAAGAGCAACAAGAUCUACUCAGGAAAGGUGCCCCUAACUUCCUCACAUAAUGCUUUAAAAAAUAAAGUCGUCGAGUUAGGUGGCAGGAAAUAUCACAUCAAAGGUUCUUCUGGUACUGGUGCUUUUGCUAAAUUAUACAAAGCUAGUGUUGAUGGCAACACGGAAGAAAUAGUUGCUUUGAAGGUUCAAAAGCCUGCAUUUCCUUGGGAAUUUUACAUCUACCGCCAGCUUGAUAUGCGGAUAUCUGAUAUUCAGAGACCAAGCUAUGGCUAUGCACAUGAAGUGCAUGUCUUUGCUGACGUCAGUGUGCUAGUUUGCAAUUUCCUGCCAUAUGAAACUCUUCUGGACGCUAUAAAUUCCCAUUUAGUUGUUGGUCAGCACAUGGAUGAAGUUUUGUGCAUAUAUUACACUAUGGAGAUGUUGCACAUGCUUGAAACUCUACAUAGUGUUGGCAUAAUCCAUGGUGAUUUCAAACCUGACAAUAUGCUUGUCUGUUAUCCAAGCGAAGAGAUCACAGACGAUACCUUCAGAAGCGAAACGAGAAGCGGGCAGAAUCAGGGGCUGUGUCUUAUUGACUGGGGCCGGGGCAUUGAUGUGAAUCUCUUCCCAGCUGGCACGGAGUUCUUUGGGGAUUGUGGAACCUCAGGGUUCAGUUGUAUCGAAAUGCAAGAAGAGAGAAGCUGGACAUAUCAAGUUGACACUUUUGGUCUGUGCGUGGUUGCACACAUGAUGCUGCACGGGGAAGAGAUGAGCAUCGCUAAGGUGCCCGGAACAGGUGGAAACUACAUGUACCAACCGAAAUUGUCAUUUAAAAGGUACUGGAACGUUGCGCUGUGGAAGCAGCUCUUCACCACGCUGCUGAACCCGGGCUCCAAUGGGAACCACGUAGGCGACCUCCGGAGCCUGCGGAGAUCGUUCCAGGAUUACAUGUGCAGCAACUAUCAGCUGGUGGUGAAGCUGAACCAGCUGCUGGCAAAGCAGAAGGCCUCCCUUUGCUCAUCCUGA